Molecule: RNase P RNA, 390 nt
Filed under: Thermoleophilaceae bacterium
Lineage: Bacteria; Bacillati; Actinomycetota; Thermoleophilia; Thermoleophilales; Thermoleophilaceae
Description: RNase P RNA component class A
Rfam family: Bacterial RNase P class A
About the family: Ribonuclease P (RNase P) is a ubiquitous endoribonuclease, found in archaea, bacteria and eukarya as well as chloroplasts and mitochondria. Its best characterised activity is the generation of mature 5'-ends of tRNAs by cleaving the 5'-leader elements of precursor-tRNAs.
Source: RNAcentral
GGUGCCGGCCUAGCAGUCGCGGGGAGCCCGGGGAGAAAACCGGGCCUUCGAGGAAAGUCCGGACACCGCAGGGCAGGGUGGUCGGGGGACCGACCCGGGGAAACCCGCGGGAAAGUGCCACAGAAACACACCGCCCAAGCGCCGGGCCGCACGUGAGCCCGGUGCCGGCAAGGUUGAAAUGGUGCGGUAAGAGCGCACCGGCGGCGUGGCGACACGCCGGCCAGGCAAACCCCACCCGGUGCAAGGCCAAGCAGGAGCGUCGACGCUGCCCGCCGAGCUCCAGGUAGGCCGCAGGGCCGAGAGGCCCCAGCCGUCCGCCGGCGCCGCCGGAGGCAGGCUGAGAUGGAUGACUGCUCAGGACAGAAUCCGGCUUAAGGGCCGGCUACGGAG